AUUGAACGCUGGCGGCAUGCUUUACACAUGCAAGUCGAACGGUAACAGGCCUUCGGGUGCUGACGAGUGGCGAACGGGUGAGUAAUGCAUCGGAACCUGCCUCGUUGUGGGGGAUAACGUAGGGAAACUUACGCUAAUACCGCAUACGACCUACGGGUGAAAGUGGGGGACCUUCGGGCCUCACGCGAUGAGAUGAGCCGAUGCCGGAUUAGCUAGUUGGCGGGGUAAAGGCCCACCAAGGCGACGAUCCGUAGCUGGUCUGAGAGGAUGAUCAGCCACACUGGAACUGAGACACGGUCCAGACUCCUACGGGAGGCAGCAGUGGGGAAUAUUCCCCAAUGGCCGAAAGGCUGAGGGAGCGACGCCGCGUGCAGGAAUAAGGCCU
Molecule: ribosomal RNA, 385 nt
Filed under: uncultured bacterium
Lineage: Bacteria
Description: bacterial SSU rRNA
Rfam family: Bacterial small subunit ribosomal RNA
Source: RNAcentral